RNAcentral lists this ribosomal RNA (156 nucleotides) under Ipomoea nil (Japanese morning glory). Its description in RNAcentral is "5.8S ribosomal RNA". It matches the Rfam family "5.8S ribosomal RNA". Rfam says of the family: 5.8S ribosomal RNA (5.8S rRNA) is a component of the large subunit of the eukaryotic ribosome. It is transcribed by RNA polymerase I as part of the 45S precursor that also contains 18S and 28S rRNA. The record is from Rfam by way of RNAcentral. Lineage: Eukaryota; Viridiplantae; Streptophyta; Magnoliopsida; Solanales; Convolvulaceae.
GACUCUCGGCAACGGAUAUCUCGGCUCUCGCAUCGAUGAAGAACGUAGCGAAAUGCGAUACUUGGUGUGAAUUGCAGAAUCCCGUGAACCAUCGAGUCUUUGGAACGCAAGUUGCGCCGAAGCCGUUAGGCCGAGGGCACGUCUGCCUGGGCGUCA